RNAcentral lists this ribosomal RNA (1508 nucleotides) under Enterobacter hormaechei. Its description in RNAcentral is "bacterial LSU rRNA". It matches the Rfam family "Bacterial large subunit ribosomal RNA", at positions 1271 to 2760 of the family's 2925-position model. Lineage: Bacteria; Pseudomonadati; Pseudomonadota; Gammaproteobacteria; Enterobacterales; Enterobacteriaceae. The record is from RNAcentral.
UGCUGGAGGUAUCAGAAGUGCGAAUGCUGACAUAAGUAACGAUAAAGCGGGUGAAAAGCCCGCUCGCCGGAAGACCAAGGGUUCCUGUCCAACGUUAAUCGGGGCAGGGUGAGUCGACCCCUAAGGCGAGGCCGAAAGGCGUAGUCGAUGGGAAACAGGUUAAUAUUCCUGUACUUGGUGUUACUGCGAAGGGGGGACGGAGAAGGCUAUGUCAGCCGGGCGACGGUUGUCCCGGUUUAAGCAUGUAGGCGGAGGUUCCAGGUAAAUCCGGUACCUUAUUAACGCUGAGGUGUGAUGACGAGGCACUACGGUGCUGAAGUGAUAAAUGCCCUGCUUCCAGGAAAAGCCUCUAAGCAUCAGGUAACACGAAAUCGUACCCCAAACCGACACAGGUGGUCAGGUAGAGAAUACCAAGGCGCUUGAGAGAACUCGGGUGAAGGAACUAGGCAAAAUGGUGCCGUAACUUCGGGAGAAGGCACGCUGAUAUGUAGGUGAAGUCCCUGCGGACGGAGCUGAAAUCAGUCGAAGAUACCAGCUGGCUGCAACUGUUUAUUAAAAACACAGCACUGUGCAAACACGAAAGUGGACGUAUACGGUGUGACGCCUGCCCGGUGCCGGAAGGUUAAUUGAUGGGGUUAGCGGCAACGCGAAGCUCUUGAUCGAAGCCCCGGUAAACGGCGGCCGUAACUAUAACGGUCCUAAGGUAGCGAAAUUCCUUGUCGGGUAAGUUCCGACCUGCACGAAUGGCGUAAUGAUGGCCAGGCUGUCUCCACCCGAGACUCAGUGAAAUUGAACUCGCUGUGAAGAUGCAGUGUACCCGCGGCAAGACGGAAAGACCCCGUGAACCUUUACUAUAGCUUGACACUGAACACUGGUCCUUGAUGUGUAGGAUAGGUGGGAGGCUUUGAAGCGUGGACGCCAGUCUGCGUGGAGCCAACCUUGAAAUACCACCCUUUAAUGGCUGGUGUUCUAACGUAGACCCGUAAUCCGGGUUGCGGACAGUGUCUGGUGGGUAGUUUGACUGGGGCGGUCUCCUCCCAAAGAGUAACGGAGGAGCACGAAGGUUGGCUAAUCCUGGUCGGACAUCAGGAGGUUAGUGCAAUGGCAUAAGCCAGCUUGACUGCGAGCGUGACGGCGCGAGCAGGUGCGAAAGCAGGUCAUAGUGAUCCGGUGGUUCUGAAUGGAAGGGCCAUCGCUCAACGGAUAAAAGGUACUCCGGGGAUAACAGGCUGAUACCGCCCAAGAGUUCAUAUCGACGGCGGUGUUUGGCACCUCGAUGUCGGCUCAUCACAUCCUGGGGCUGAAGUAGGUCCCAAGGGUAUGGCUGUUCGCCAUUUAAAGUGGUACGCGAGCUGGGUUUAGAACGUCGUGAGACAGUUCGGUCCCUAUCUGCCGUGGGCGCUGGAGAAUUGAGGGGGGCUGCUCCUAGUACGAGAGGACCGGAGUGGACGCAUCACUGGUGUUCGGGUUGUCAUGCCAAUGGCACUGCCCGGUAGCUAAAUGCGGAA